CUUGAUCGACCCGAGCCACAGCGGCCGGUCGGCGGGGCGGCCCGCACCGUAGGUGGCGAUCAGCGCUUGCGCCUC
RNAcentral lists this antisense RNA (75 nucleotides) under Micromonospora eburnea. RNAcentral's name for it is "ASpks TB sRNA". It matches the Rfam family "ASpks TB sRNA". The record is from RNAcentral. Lineage: Bacteria; Bacillati; Actinomycetota; Actinomycetes; Micromonosporales; Micromonosporaceae.